AUUGAACGCUGGCGGCAUGCCUUACACAUGCAAGUCGAACGGCAGCGCGGGGGCAACCCUGGCGGCGAGUGGCGAACGGGUGAGUAAUAUAUUGGAACGUACCCAAGAGUGGGGGAUAACGUAGCGAAAGUUACGCUAAUACCGCAUACGAUCUAAGGAUGAAAGCAGGGGACCGCAAGGCCUUGUGCUCCUGGAGCGGCCGAUAUCUGAUUAGCUAGUUGGUGGGGUAAAGGCCUACCAAGGCAUCGAUCAGUAGCUGGUCUGAGAGGACGACCAGCCACACUGGGACUGAGACACGGCCCAGACUCCUACGGGAGGCAGCAGUGGGGAAUUUUGGACAAUGGGGGGCAACCCUGAUCCAGCAAUGCCGCGUGAGUGAAGAAGGCCUUCGGGUUGUAAAGCUCUUUGUCAGGGAAGAAACGGUUGUGGCUAAUAUCCAUGGCUAAUGACGGUACCUGAAGAUAAGCACCGGCUAACUACGUGCCAGCA
Molecule: ribosomal RNA, 489 nt
Filed under: uncultured bacterium
Lineage: Bacteria
Description: bacterial SSU rRNA
Rfam family: Bacterial small subunit ribosomal RNA
Source: RNAcentral